AGUACGGCGAGUGAAGCGGGAAGAGCUCAAAUUUGAAAUCUGGUGGCCUCAGGUCAUCCGAGUUGUAAUCUAUAGAAACGUUUUCCGUGCUGGCUCAUGUACAAGUCCCUUGGAACAGGGCGUCAUAGAGGGUGAGAAUCCCGUCCUUGACAUGAACUACCAGUGCUCUGUGAUACGUUUUCAACGAGUCGAGUUGUUUGGGAAUGCAGCUCAAAAUGGGUGGUAAAUUCCAUCUAAAGCUAAAUAUUGG
Molecule: ribosomal RNA, 250 nt
Filed under: Cryptococcus sp. (in: basidiomycete fungi)
Lineage: Eukaryota; Fungi; Basidiomycota; Tremellomycetes; Tremellales; Cryptococcaceae
Description: Cryptococcus sp. (in: Fungi) partial large subunit ribosomal RNA
Rfam family: Eukaryotic large subunit ribosomal RNA
Source: RNAcentral